CCUCUCCUCCCCUCUACUCCCAUCUCUCCUCCCAUCUCCCCUUUCUCUCCCUCCACCUCUCCUCCCCUCUCCUCCCCUCUACAUCUCUCCUACCCUCUCCCCUUUCUCUCCCUCCACCUCUCCUUCCCUCUCCUUCCCUCCCAUCUACUCCAACCAAAAUACACAACCCUAUUUCCCCCAUGCCCAGGCUCUAGCCGAGGUUAAUCAAAAUCAGUCUGUUUAAGUUAGAGAUAUUCCGGGGUGGCAGGUAGCCUAGUGGUUAGAGUGUAGAGACGGCAGGUAGCCUAGUGGUUAGAGUGUAGAGGCAGUAGGUAGUCUAGUGGUUAGAGUGAAGGGGCAGUAGGUAGCCUAGUGGUUAGAGUGUAGAGGCGGCAGGUAGCCUAGUGGUUAGAGUGUAGAGGUGACAGGUAGCCUAGUGGUUAGAGUGUAGAGGCAGUAGGUAGCCUAGUGGUUAGAGUGUAGAGGCAGUAGGUAGCCUAGUGGUUAGAGUGUAGAGGUGGCAGGUAGUCUAGUGGUUAGAGUGUAGAGGAGGCAGGUAGCCUAAUGGUUAGAGUGUAGAGGAGGCAGGUAGUCUAGUGGUUAGAGUGUAGAGGUGACAGGUAGCCUAGUGGUUAGAGUGUAGAGGUGGCAGGUAGCCUAGUGGUUAGAGUGCAGAGGUGACAGGUAGCCUAGUGGUUAGAGUGUAGAGGUGGCAGGUAGCCUAGUGGUUAGAGUGUAGAGGUGGCGGGUAGCCUAGUGGUUAGAGUGUAGAGGUGGCCGGUAGCCUAGUGGUUAAAGUGUAGAGGUGGCAGGUAGCCUAGUGGUUAGAGUGUAAAGGUGGCAGGUAGCCUAGUGGUUAGAGUGUAGAGGUGGCAGGUAGCCUAGUGGUUAGAGUGUAGAGGAGGCAGGUAGCCUAGUGGUUAGAGUGUAGAGGUGGCAGGUAGCCUAGUGGUUAGAGUGUAGAGGCGGCAGGUAGCCUAGUGGUUAGAGUGUAGAGGAGGCAGGUAGCCUAGUGGUUAGAGUGUAGAGGUGACAGGUAGUCUAGUGGUUAGAGUGUAGAGGUGGCAGGUAGCCUAGUGGUUAGAGUGUAGAGGUGGCAGGUAGUCUAGUGGUUAGAGUGUAGAGGUGGCAGGUAGCCUAGUGGUUAGAGUUUAGAGGUGGCAGGUAGCCUAGUGGUUAGAGUGUAGAGGCGGCAGGUAGCCUAGUGGUUAGAGUGUAGAGGAGGCAGGUAGCCUAGUGGUUAGAGUGUAGAGGUGACAGGUAGUCUAGUGGUUAGAGUGUAGAGGCGGCAGGUAGCCUAGUGGUUAGAGUGUAGAGGAGGCAGGUAGCCUAGUGGUUAGAGUGUAGAGGUGACAGGUAGUCUAGUGGUUAGAGUGUAGAGGUGGCAGGUAGCCUAGUGGUUAGAGUGUAGAGGUGGCAGGUAGCCUAGUGGUUAGAGUGUAGAGGUGGCAGGUAGCCUAGUGGUUAGAGUGUAGGGGUGGCAGGUAGCCUAGUGGUUAGAGUGUAGAGGUGGCAGGUAGCCUAGUGGUUAGAGCGUUGGACUAGUAAUCAAAAGGUUGCUAGAUCAAUUCCUCUGAGCUGACAAGGUAAAAAUCUGUUGUUCUGCACC
Molecule: long non-coding RNA, 1588 nt
Filed under: Salmo salar (Atlantic salmon)
Lineage: Eukaryota; Metazoa; Chordata; Actinopteri; Salmoniformes; Salmonidae
Description: lncRNA (ENSSSAG00000094864.1)
Source: RNAcentral